AGAAAAAUGACUGUUUGCAAUUCAAAGACUCAUGAACUAAUAAACAUUACUGUAUUACACUUGAAAUUAUGGAGUAAUUUGCAAAUUUUCACACGAUUUGUUAUUUUUCCAGUGUAAAAUGUAAACAUGGCAUUUAGCAGCAUUUAAGUUGCAGUAAAUGUGCAGUUGUAGCUUCAGUGAUUAUCAGAUUACUGUAUAUACAAUUAUGUAAAUGUAUUGCUUCAUUUAACAUUCUGGUUUAAGAUGGAAUUUAUUCCAGAAUUGGUUUGCAUAUCAUUUUCUUGGUAGUAUAGUGGUAAAGUUGUAAAAGAUUAUUUCAUAUUCUGACACAGAAAAUGUGAGUUGUGUGUAGAAAGGUUCUACUAGUUGUCAUGUAGAUUAAUGCAAUAUAUGCAAAUUUUAUUUGAAAGUAUGACUGAUUAUCAGGAAUUAAGCAUAAUGGGAAAUUUAUCAUUCCUCAUGUCAAGGCACAUGUAGUAUACAUGUAGUUUGCCUUUUAGUACAGUGUUCCAAAUACAAAGGGUAUUAAAAUAGGAAAGGUCAAGAGUUCAGCUCUUCAUGUGAAGCUCGAGUAGAAAGUUACUUACAAACAUAAAAUGUGUGUUUACGGUACAGUCUAGUUGUUGGUUGUAUGUUUAACUUGACACAUCACUCUCAGAUCUCCCAUCGUCUGAGUCAGUAGGAGGAUUUAGUUUUGGAUUAAAACAUUUUUUUAGUGUCAUUCCUGGUGUCGGGAAUUAUAGUGAGGAAGCAGCGUGGUUGCUUACAGUUAUCUUUGGAGUCGUCGAUGUUUACCAAAAUGAUUCUAAUUUCUGACAAGGAAUGUUGGGAGUUCUGAUAGGGUUGUCAUGGUGAUGUUGAGAAGGAUAUUUGUUUUAUGUAAGUGCAUUUGAUAUACACUUGGUGCAUUUUAUGCAAAUGUCAAAGCUUUGGAAAUUACUUAGUAGUUUGCUGAAAAGAAACUCUUCAGAUAUUUUAUGUUGAUAUUAAUGGUCAAGAUCAUUGAAUAGGUUAAGGGUGAUUAGUUAUUUAAAGGUGUGAAGAAAAAAAAAGGUCACUUGAACAGUAUAAGAAGUUGAAGAAUUUAAAGGAACAAUGAUUUAUUGCAAGUAGCAAUUGUGGAUAGACUUAAUUUUGAAAUGUUUCAAAUGAACAAAGUAUUGUUAAAUGUUCAGAAAGGCUUCUCAUUUAAGAGGGCCGGAAUGUGGAGUACAGGAUGACGUUUUGCUUUAAGCCGAUUCUUGUGAUGUCACAGGCGUCGCUUUGUAGAAAGUGUAUGGAUUAGGUCGCUUGAGGGCGUACUGGAUUUUGUGUGUUACUGAUUUUCCACGUCAUGGGAUAGUUGCCUCCCAGAGUUGCCUAAGUUUUCGUUUAAUUUUGUGAUACAAGCCCAAUGAUAUUGAACCUUGCCUGCUACAGUCUAUAACCAAA
RNAcentral lists this long non-coding RNA (1431 nucleotides) under Strongylocentrotus purpuratus (purple sea urchin). Its description in RNAcentral is "uncharacterized LOC115927250". The record is from RNAcentral. Lineage: Eukaryota; Metazoa; Echinodermata; Echinoidea; Camarodonta; Strongylocentrotidae.